GCCAGCUUCUAAGUAAUCAUCCAAAACAUACAUGAAUUAGGUACCCUUUUCAAGGAUGCACACAAAACAAACCUCACCUCACCGAGAUCUCAUAAACUCCACACUGAUCAGACCAGCUCAAUGUAAGCCAUCGGUGCAUUGUCACCCCGUCUUGGUAAAGUUCUGAUGAUUCUGGUGUAGCCACCAUUCCUCUCGCCAUACCUGUCCUGGACCUCCGCAAACAAGGCAUGAACUAUCUGCUUCUCAUAGAUGAAACCCAAUGCUUGUCGUCUCUUGUGCAGAGACCCCUCUUUCGCCAAUGUUAUCAUUUUGUCGACAUACUUUCUCAUCGCACUCGCCCUUGCUCUGGUAGUUUUUAUCCUACCAUGCUUCAAAAGUUGUGUUGUGAGGGCACGAAGUAGGGCUUUUCG
RNAcentral lists this unclassified non-coding RNA (410 nucleotides) under Hevea brasiliensis (rubber tree). The record is from RNAcentral. Lineage: Eukaryota; Viridiplantae; Streptophyta; Magnoliopsida; Malpighiales; Euphorbiaceae.